This 200-nucleotide ribosomal RNA is filed under the name uncultured bacterium. Its description in RNAcentral is "partial 16S ribosomal RNA". It matches the Rfam family "Bacterial small subunit ribosomal RNA", at positions 29 to 259 of the family's 1533-position model. The record is from RNAcentral.
AGCGAACGCUGGCGGCAGGCCUAAUACAUGCAAGUCGAGCGGCCCUUCGGGGCAGCGGCGGACGGGUGAGUAACGCGUGGGAAUAUGCCCUUUGGUACGGAACAACUGAGGGAAACUUCAGCUAAUACCGUAUGUGCCCUUCGGGGAAAGAUUUAUCGCCAUUGGAGUAGCCCGCGUUGGAUUAGGUAGUUGGUGAGGUA